AAAGACCACUAGGGGUGCUUGAAGCUGAGAUUGGAUGAAAAAUCCUGACCCUUAGACCUGAUCUGGUUAGUACCAGCGUAGGAAAUGUGGAUGUUUGAUAGU
RNAcentral lists this non-coding RNA (102 nucleotides) under Vagococcus lutrae. RNAcentral's name for it is "TPP sequence". It matches the Rfam family "TPP riboswitch aptamer (THI element)". From Rfam's summary of the family: Vitamin B(1) in its active form thiamin pyrophosphate (TPP) is an essential coenzyme that is synthesised by coupling of pyrimidine and thiazole moieties in bacteria. The previously detected thiamin-regulatory element, thi box was extended, resulting in a new, highly conserved RNA secondary structure, the THI element, which is widely distributed in eubacteria and also occurs in some archaea. The record is from RNAcentral. RNAcentral also lists the same sequence under 1 other name. Lineage: Bacteria; Bacillati; Bacillota; Bacilli; Lactobacillales; Enterococcaceae.